GUAUCAGCUAGUUGGUAAGGUAAUGGCUUACCAAGGCUAUGACGCUUAACUGGUCUGAGAGGAUGAUCAGUCACACUGGAACUGAGACACGGUCCAGACUCCUACGGGAGGCAGCAGUAGGGAAUAUUGCGCAAUGGGGGAAACCCUGACGCAGCAACGCCGCGUGGAGGAUGACACUUUUCGGAGCGUAAACUCCUUUUCUUAGGGAAGAAUUCUGACGGUACCUAAGGAAUAAGCACCGGCUAACUCCGUGCCAGCAGCCGCGGUAAUACGGAGGGUGCAAGCGUUACUCGGAAUCACUGGGCGUAAAGGGCGCGUAGGCGGAUUAUCAAGUCUCUUGUGAAAUCUAAUGGCUUAACCAUUAAACUGCUUGGGAAACUGAUAGUCUAGAGUGAGGGAGAGGCAGAUGGAAUUGGUGGUGUAGGGGUAAAAUCCGUAGAUAUCACCAAGAAUACCCAUUGCGAAGGCGAUCUGCUGGAACUCAACUGACGCUAAGGCGCGAAAGCGUGGGGAGCAAACAGGAUUAGAUACCCUGGUAGUCCACGCCCUAAACGAUGUACACUAGUUGUUGGGGUGCUAGUCAUCUCAGUAAUGCAGCUAACGCAUUAAGUGUACCGCCUGGGGAGUACGGUCGCAAGAUUAAAACUCAAAGGAAUAGACGGGGACCCGCACAAGCGGUGGAGCAUGUGGUUUAAUUCGAAGAUACGCGAAGAACCUUACCUGGGCUUGAUAUCCUAAGAACCUUAUAGAGAUAUGAGGGUGCUAGCUUGCUAGAACUUAGAGACAGGUGCUGCACGGCUGUCGUCAGCUCGUGUCGUGAGAUGUUGGGUUAAGUCCCGCAACGAGCGCAACCCACGUAUUUAGUUGCUAACGGUUCGGCCGAGCACUCUAAAUAGACUGCCUUCGUAAGGAGGAGGAAGGUGUGGACGACGUCAAGUCAUCAUGGCCCUUAUGCCCAGGGCGACACACGUGCUACAAUGGCAUAUACAAUGAGACGCAAUACCGCGAGGUGGAGCAAAUCUAUAAAAUAUGUCCCAGUUCGGAUUGUUCUCUGCAACUCGAGAGCAUGAAGCCGGAAUCGCUAGUAAUCGUAGAUCAGCCAUGCUACGGUGAAUACGUUCCCGGGUCUUGUACUCACCGCCCGUCACACCAUGGGAGUUGAUUUCACUCGAAGCCGGAAUACUAAACUAGUUACCGUCCACAGUGGAAUCAGCGACUGGGGUGAAGUCGUAACAAGGUAACCGUAGGAGAACCUGCGGUUGGAUCACCUCCUUUCUA
RNAcentral lists this ribosomal RNA (1278 nucleotides) under Campylobacter jejuni. Its description in RNAcentral is "bacterial SSU rRNA". It matches the Rfam family "Bacterial small subunit ribosomal RNA", at positions 238 to 1533 of the family's 1533-position model. The record is from RNAcentral. Lineage: Bacteria; Pseudomonadati; Campylobacterota; Epsilonproteobacteria; Campylobacterales; Campylobacteraceae.